UACGUAGGGGGCAAGCGUUGUCCGGAUUUAUUGGGCGUAAAGAGCUCGUAGGCGGCUCGGUAAGUCGGGUGUGAAACCUCCAGGCUCAACCUGGAGACGCCACCUGAUACUGCUGUGGCUAGAGUCCGGUAGGGGAGCGUGGAAUUCCUGGUGUAGCGGUGAAAUGCGCAGAGUAUCAGGAGGAACACCGAUGGCGAAGGCAGGUCUCUGGGCCGAUACUGACGCUGAGGAGCGAAAGCGUGGGGAGCGAACAGG
RNAcentral lists this ribosomal RNA (255 nucleotides) under uncultured bacterium. RNAcentral describes it as "partial 16S ribosomal RNA". It matches the Rfam family "Bacterial small subunit ribosomal RNA", at positions 524 to 776 of the family's 1533-position model. The record is from RNAcentral.